AAGAGACAGCAGUAGCCGCGGGAAUACGGAGGAUCCAAGCGUUAUCCGGAAUCAUUGGGUUUAAAGGGUCCGUAGGCGGUCUUGUAAGUCAGUGGUGAAAGCCCAUCGCUCAACGGUGGAACGGCCAUUGAUACUGCAGGACUUGAAUUAUUGGGAAGUAACUAGAAUAUGUAGUGUAGCGGUGAAAUGCUUAGAGAUUACAUGGAAUACCAAUUGCGAAGGCAGGUUACUACCAAUUGAUUGACGCUGAUGGACGAAAGCGUGGGUAGCGAACAGGAUUAGAGACCCCCGUAGUCCCUGUCUCUUAUAC
RNAcentral lists this ribosomal RNA (310 nucleotides) under uncultured bacterium. Its description in RNAcentral is "partial 16S ribosomal RNA". It matches the Rfam family "Bacterial small subunit ribosomal RNA", at positions 503 to 807 of the family's 1533-position model. The record is from RNAcentral.